AUGAAGAACGCAGCAAACUGCGAUACCUAGUGUGAAUUGCAGAAUUCAGUGAAUCAUCGAGUCUUUGAACGCAAAUGGCGCUCUCGGUUUCACCGGGAGCACGUCUGUCUGAGC
RNAcentral lists this ribosomal RNA (114 nucleotides) under Cliona celata. Its description in RNAcentral is "5.8S ribosomal RNA". It matches the Rfam family "5.8S ribosomal RNA", at positions 36 to 150 of the family's 154-position model. Rfam says of the family: 5.8S ribosomal RNA (5.8S rRNA) is a component of the large subunit of the eukaryotic ribosome. Lineage: Eukaryota; Metazoa; Porifera; Demospongiae; Clionaida; Clionaidae. The record is from RNAcentral.